GCACAAGCGGUGGAGCAUGUGGAUUAAUUUGAUGCAACGCGAAGAACCUUACCUGGGUUUGACAUGCACAGGACGCCCGUAGAGAUAUGGGUUCCCUUGUGGCCUGUGUGCAGGUGGUGCAUGGCUGUCGUCAGCUCGUGUCGUGAGAUGUUGGGUUAAGUCCCGCAACGAGCGCAACCCUUGUCCUAUGUUGCCAGCGGGUUAUGCCGGGGACUCGUAGGAGACUGCCGGGGCCAACUCGGAGGAAGGUGGGGAUGACGUCAGGUCAUCAUGCCCCUUAUGUCCAGGGCUUCACACAUGCUACAAUGGCCGGUACAAAGGGCUGCGAUGCCGUGAGGUGGAGCGAAUCCUUGUAAAGCCGGUCUCAGUUCGGAUCGGGGUCUGCAACUCGACCCCGUGAAGUCGGAGUCGCUAGUAAUCGCAGAUCAGCAACGCUGCGGUGAAUACGUUCCC
RNAcentral lists this ribosomal RNA (453 nucleotides) under uncultured bacterium. RNAcentral's name for it is "bacterial SSU rRNA". It matches the Rfam family "Bacterial small subunit ribosomal RNA", at positions 923 to 1375 of the family's 1533-position model. The record is from RNAcentral.